GACUCGUCACACUAUCAUUAACUGAAUCCAUAGGUUAAUGAGGCGAACCGGGGGAACUGAAACAUCUAAGUACCCCGAGGAAAAGAAAUCAACCGAGAUUCCCCCAGUAGCGGCGAGCGAACGGGGAGGAGCCCAGAGCCUGAAUCAGCAUGUGUGUUAGUGGAAGCGUCUGGAAAGGCGCGCGAUACAGGGUGACAGCCCCGUACACAAAAGCGCAUGUGCUGUGAGCUCGAUGAGUAGGGCGGGACACGUGGUAUCCUGUCUGAAUAUGGGGGGACCAUCCUCCAAGGCUAAAUACUCCUGACUGACCGAUAGUGAACCAGUACCGUGAGGGAAAGGCGAAAAGAACCCCGGCGAGGGGAGUGAAAAAGAACCUGAAACCGUGUACGUACAAGCAGUGGGAGCACCCUUUGGGGUGUGACUGCGUACCUUUUGUAUAAUGGGUCAGCGACUUAUAUUCUGUAGCAAGGUUAACCGAAUAGGGGAGCCGGAGGGAAACCGAGUCU
This 506-nucleotide ribosomal RNA is filed under the name Salmonella enterica. Its description in RNAcentral is "partial 23S ribosomal RNA". It matches the Rfam family "Bacterial large subunit ribosomal RNA", at positions 137 to 684 of the family's 2925-position model. The record is from RNAcentral. Lineage: Bacteria; Pseudomonadati; Pseudomonadota; Gammaproteobacteria; Enterobacterales; Enterobacteriaceae.